GGGGAAUCUUCCGCAAUGGACGAAAGUCUGACGGAGCAACGCCGCGUGAACGAUGACGGCCUUCGGGUUGUAAAGUUCUGUUAUACGGGACGAAUGGUACGACGGCCAAUACCCGUCGUAAGUGACGGUACCGUAAGAGAAAGCCACGGCUAACUACGUGCCAGCAGCCGCGGUAAUACGUAGGUGGCAAGCGUUGUCCGGAAUUAUUGGGCGUAAAGGGCGCGCAGGCGGCGUCGUAAGUCGGUCUUAAAAGUGCGGGGCUUAACCCCGUGAGGGGACCGAAACUGCGAUGCUAGAGUAUCGGAGAGGAAAGCGGAAUUCCUAGUGUAGCGGUGAAAUGCGUAGAUAUUAGGAGGAACACCAGUGGCGAAAGCGGCUUUCUGGACGACAACUGACGCUGAGGCGCGAAAGCCAGGGGAGCAAAC
RNAcentral lists this ribosomal RNA (425 nucleotides) under uncultured bacterium. Its description in RNAcentral is "bacterial SSU rRNA". It matches the Rfam family "Bacterial small subunit ribosomal RNA", at positions 356 to 773 of the family's 1533-position model. The record is from RNAcentral.